UACAGAGGAUGCAAGCGUUAUCCGGAAUGAUUGGGCGUAAAGCGUGUGUAGGCGGCUUUUUAAGUCCGCUGUCAAAUCCCAGGGCUCAACUCUGGACAGGCGGUGGAAACUACCAAGCUGGAGUCCGGUAGGGGCAGAGGGAAUUUCCGGUGGAGCGGUGAAAUGCGCAGAGAUCGGAAAGAACACCAACGGCGAAAGCACUCUGCUGGGCCGACACUGACACUGAGAGACGAAAGCUAGGGGAGCGAAUGGG
Molecule: ribosomal RNA, 253 nt
Filed under: uncultured bacterium
Lineage: Bacteria
Description: partial 16S ribosomal RNA
Rfam family: Bacterial small subunit ribosomal RNA
Source: RNAcentral